AGGAGGCUGGAGAGAGAAGAGCUGAGGAGAGGGAGCAGAGACGCAUAUUAGAGACGCAGGGGAGACCGGAGUGCAGAGCCGCCGGAGAUAGCCGCUUAUCGUGGAGAGCGGGCACAGGCGCAGAGACGCUGCGAGCCACAGCGAGAGGCUCUGGACGGGAGCCUCUCCGGAGCAGGGAGAACGGCAGCUAGAGGUGCCUGACAGCAGCGCUGCCUCACAGAGUAAUGAGCCUAGAUACCCAAGAAUUGACCCUCUGUAAACAGAAGAGGAUGGUCCAUUCACUUUAAAUUUAUAUCCAGUCAUACCACCACAGCUCCAAACUCCGAGGCCAUCCAGCCUAGACUUCCAGGAGUAAACAAUUCAAGACUAUCAGGAACUGGCAAUGGAGUCAGAAGCCAGGAGAAUCAUCCAUACCCUGAGUCUCCUACUUGAUCCUCUGAAGGCCACUACAGCAGCUCUGAUGCCAUGAAUCAGAUGCCAUAUCUCUGUAAAUUGGAGGAGACUGAUUGCCAGCACAAGUUAACAAAUUACGUAAUGAGACUCUUAAAAUAAUAGUGAGAUUUGAAUGAACUAUAAUUUUUUUUGUUGUAAAAUUUGUUAUCCCUCUGAAUUACAGUAUUUGCUAUAAUUUGUUGUGCUGUGCACAAUGUAUGAAGGAACACACAUCUGCAAAAAUGUAAAGAGACUGGGGGAGUAUUUAUCAAAGCUCGAAAGAGAGACAAAGUGGAGAUAGAUAAAGUACAAUCCAAUCAGCCCCUGUCAUUUU
Pseudophryne corroboree (corroboree frog) is the source of this 766-nucleotide long non-coding RNA. RefSeq lists it as uncharacterized. The record is from RefSeq and is a predicted model, not a curated record. Lineage: Eukaryota; Metazoa; Chordata; Amphibia; Anura; Myobatrachidae. The transcript has 4 exons.